CUACGGAGGGUGCAAGCGUUAUUCGGAAUCACUGGGCGUAAAGGACGCGUAGGCGGGUUUGUAAGUCAGGUGUGAAAUCCUACAGCUUAACUGUAGAACUGCACUUGAAACUACAGACCUAGAGUAUGGGAGGGGCAGAUGGAAUUAGUGGUGUAGGGGUAAAAUCCGUAGAUAUCACUAGGAAUACCGAAAGCGAAGGCGAUCUGCUGGAACAUAACUGACGCUAAGGCGUGAAAGCGUGGGGAGCAAACAGGAGUAGAAACCCUUGUAGUCC
RNAcentral lists this ribosomal RNA (274 nucleotides) under uncultured bacterium. RNAcentral describes it as "partial 16S ribosomal RNA". It matches the Rfam family "Bacterial small subunit ribosomal RNA", at positions 523 to 796 of the family's 1533-position model. The record is from RNAcentral.